CAGUAGCCACGGGAAUACGAAGGGGGCUAGCGUUGUUCGGAAUCACUGGGCGUAAAGGGUGCGUAGGCGGAUUCUUAAGUCAGGGGUGAAAUCCCGAGGCUCAACCUCGGAACUGCCUUCGAUACUGGGGAUCUUGAGUCCGGAAGAGGUGAGUGGAACUGCGAGUAUAGAGGUGAAAUUCGUAGAUAUUCGCAAGAACACCGGUGGCGAAGGCGGCUCACUGGUCCGGAACUGACGCUGAGGCACGACAGCGUGGGGAGCAAACAGGAUUAGAUACCCCGGUAGUCCCUGUCUCUUAUAC
Molecule: ribosomal RNA, 301 nt
Filed under: uncultured bacterium
Lineage: Bacteria
Description: partial 16S ribosomal RNA
Rfam family: Bacterial small subunit ribosomal RNA
Source: RNAcentral